GGUUAAGCGACUAAGCGUACACGGUGGAUGCCCUGGCAGUCAGAGGCGAUGAAGGACGUGCUAAUCUGCGAUAAGCGCCGGUAAGGUGAUAUGAACCGUUAUAACCGGCGAUACCCGAAUGGGGAAACCCAGUGUGAUUCGUCACACUAUCAUUAACUGAAUCCAUAGGUUAAUGAGGCGAACCGGGGGAACUGAAACAUCUAAGUACCCCGAGGAAAAGAAAUCAACCGAGAUUCCCCCAGUAGCGGCGAGCGAACGGGGAGGAGCCCAGAGCCUGAAUCAGCAUGUGUGUUAGUGGAAGCGUCUGGAAAGGUGCGCGAUACAGGGUGACAGCCCCGUACACAAAAGCGCAUGUGCUGUGAGCUCGAUGAGUAGGGCGGGACACGUGGUAUCCUGUCUGAAUAUGGGGGGACCAUCCUCCAAGGCUAAAUACUCCUGACUGACCGAUAGUGAACCAGUACCGUGAGGGAAAGGCGAAAAGAACCCCGGCGAGGGGAGUGAAAAAGAACCUGAAACCGUGUACGUACAAGCAGUGGGAGCACAGGUUUACCUGUGUGACUGCGUACCUUUUGUAUAAUGGGUCAGCGACUUAUAUUCUGUAGCAAGGUUAACCGUAUAGGGGAGCCGUAGGGAAACCGAGUCUUAACCGGGCGUUAAGUUGCAGGGUAUAGACCCGAAACCCGGUGAUCUAGCCAUGGGCAGGUUGAAGGUUGGGUAACACUAACUGGAGGACCGAACCGACUAAUGUUGAAAAAUUAGCGGAUGACCUGUGGCU
RNAcentral lists this ribosomal RNA (775 nucleotides) under Salmonella enterica. RNAcentral describes it as "partial 23S ribosomal RNA". It matches the Rfam family "Bacterial large subunit ribosomal RNA", at positions 1 to 816 of the family's 2925-position model. The record is from RNAcentral. Lineage: Bacteria; Pseudomonadati; Pseudomonadota; Gammaproteobacteria; Enterobacterales; Enterobacteriaceae. RNAcentral also lists the same sequence under 1 other name.